Molecule: ribosomal RNA, 253 nt
Filed under: uncultured bacterium
Lineage: Bacteria
Description: partial 16S ribosomal RNA
Rfam family: Bacterial small subunit ribosomal RNA
Source: RNAcentral
UACAGAGGUCUCAAGCGUUGUUCGGAUUCAUUGGGCGUAAAGGGCUCGUAGGCGGUUUGUCGCGUCGGGAGUGAAAACACACAGCUUAACUGUGUGCUUGCUUCCGAUACGGGCAGACUAGAGGUAUGCAGGGGAGAACGGAAUUCCUGGUGUAGCGGUGAAAUGCGCAGAUAUCAGGAGGAACACCGGUGGCGAAGGCGGUUCUCUGGGCAUUACCUGACGCUGAGGAGCGAAAGUGUGGGGAGCGAACAGG